GUGCUGGGCUUCAUAAGGGAAGAAGAGAUUAUACACCAAAGGAGCUGCGAGAACUAGGUAGUACGUACAGGCACAAGCCAGGGGCCCAGAGAACACAUCAAGAGCAAGAGCAAUGCACAGCAAGACUGGAGGUGCAGCCAAGGGGACUUAACCAACAGGAGUCAUGGAGAUGGUUAAAAGAGCAUGGUGCCCCUGGAGGAAAAAUCGACAGACUGCCCACCUCAACUCAUGUGUGUCCCAGUGGGUUGCUCGUGCCUUCCUGGAGACUGAGGAGUGGCCCUGGCCCAGGUUCUGGUGUGCUGCUUUUUGCUGCUGCUUGUUCCUUCUGCACCAACACCCGAAGUGCUCUGCUCUAGCUGUGCUCUCCCAGAGCAUGCAGGCCAACCCCAGCCAGUGGCCCUCCUGACAUGGACACCAUGCCCCUGGGAGGCAGCUCCUGGCACCUCCUCCCUCUGUGCGCCCAGCCCUCAGCCUUGAUGCUGCUGUAUUCCGAAGGUGUCUGCUGCCUCCUUCUGGACAUGGAUACGCCAGCCCAGGCCUUGUGCUGCUCUGCUGCUAAGUGGGCUCCCUGCACUCCUGCAGGGCAUUUCCUGCUUGCUCCGUGACUGGGAACCAGCUCUGGCCUGUUGGAGGCAACUCAGUGAACUGCACCCACACCUUCUCCACUGAGCUCUAAUCCCAGCCUUGGGGGCCACCCAUUUAAGUUGCUCCUUCCUUGGCUAUUGUCCCACUGGAGGGUAUUCUCGAGAUUUCUCUUUUCACCUCUAUAGUUGAU
Molecule: long non-coding RNA, 775 nt
Filed under: Equus asinus (donkey)
Lineage: Eukaryota; Metazoa; Chordata; Mammalia; Perissodactyla; Equidae
Description: lncRNA (ENSEASG00005038637.1)
Source: RNAcentral